Candidatus Muproteobacteria bacterium RBG_16_64_10 is the source of this 98-nucleotide non-coding RNA. NCBI's taxonomy places the organism in Bacteria, Pseudomonadati, Pseudomonadota, Candidatus Muproteobacteria. The record is from Rfam.
GGCCGGUCCCCUCGGUGACGGAGGCUUGUGAACCCGGUCAGGUCCGGAAGGAAGCAGCCGCAGCGGGCAUUCCGGGUACCGGGGCCAGGCUGGCUCGA